This 1085-nucleotide long non-coding RNA is filed under the name Bos indicus x Bos taurus (hybrid cattle). RNAcentral's name for it is "lncRNA (ENSBIXG00005026665.1)". The record is from RNAcentral. Lineage: Eukaryota; Metazoa; Chordata; Mammalia; Artiodactyla; Bovidae.
AUGAAUCCCAGUGAGUAAAAUGACUCCCUUUGCUGAUCAUUUUAUCAUCAAUCUUUGAUGUUUUCCAGAUGCUGCCGGCUCCAGAGAGGUUAAUCUGUCUAAAUACAUUAGCUUGUAAAAGGCAAGGCUUUUUUGAGAUUUGAAUCCACAUCUGUCUCUCAACCACCCUCCAUGAGAAAGUGAUGGCCAAGCUCUGUCAGUCCACUUCUCUCUUCAGGGAAGGACCAAUGCAAGGAAACUCGACUGAACCAGACACUCUGGAAAGAGGAAGAGCUGGAACAGCCGAUGGCUCUGGUGGUCAUCCUACAACCAGAAAAGACAGCCCACUGUGCUCUGUCAAAUGACGACUUGGCCACGCCCGGAGAGGAGCAGAGAGUGCAGCCUCCCUCCCUGUCUCCUGGGUGACAAGGUCUCCGGAUGACCCCACCAACAAUGAGAUGAAAAUGAAGAGCCCUGCAGCAUAAUGAGUGUGAUAAAAAUAGGAACUUGCUGAGUAAAGGGCAGGCCACAGUGGAGGCGUGGGAGGAGGGGGAACCCUGCCCGGAGCAGGUGGACCGGGCCUCCCGGCCUGACACCCUACUCUGUCUCUGUGACUCAGACAGAUCAAGGCUGGUAGAGGGGGUGGCAGGGAAGCCAGAGAGGGACUGAAGAGUGGGCUUACUUGAAUGUCCCAAGCAGACUCUGUCCUGGUCACUGUGACUCUGACCUCCACAGGGGGUGGACAAGGUGUGGCCAAAACACGCUGAUGGGGGUUGGGAAAUUCCUGCCCAUGUCUUGAACCUCUUGCCUGCCAAUAAGCGUCAGAAAAUGCAUUAAGAGUUAAUGUGUCAAUUUUUCUUAAAACACUGUGCCUUUUGUCUGUAGUAUAGAGUGGAAGAAGCCUGCUAACUGUGCCUCCUUCCCUUCUUCUUUCCCUUCCUUUCUUCUCUCUUCAGUUGGCAGCUUGGAGUGUCUGCCAGCAGAGGCAGCCGCUCCUACAGAAGGAAGGCUCUAGGUGAGCAGUGACAGCUGUCUGUGAUGCCUUCUAGCACCUUGCCCCUCUACAGUCUUGCUUUUUUAAGUUAUCUUCUAAAAAAUUAAAAUUU